GUCAUUCGCGCGCGUCGGGUUUCACAAAACACAUACAUACACACAGUUGCACACGCAGGCACGUGACUCCGAAUGGCCGCUGUGGCUUCCUCUGCCUCGCGCGGAUCUCCGUUCCCACUUCCCGUCUCCACGUCCGAGUCGGUCCGACGCGCGCGCCGUUUCUGAUCCCGCAUUCCGGCUUAACAUUUGGAGGUCACUUGUGCACGGGGAGGGUCACACACACACACACACACACACACACACACACACACACACACACACACAGCACGAGAAAACAGCGGCACGACUCACUGGAGUAACAUCAUCACAUCACAGCGCAUCGCGUCAGACCCGAAGAGAAACUUCCAUCGGUCGCGAGACGCCGGUGGGCGGAGCCAACAGGUUACAGCUCACAGAGUGAGUGCUGGUUGACGUCGAUGUCGAUGCGUGUGGCGUUAUUCCGGUGAGAAGUCCGGGGUUGUGCGGCGGCUCUGGCGUCACACGGGGACAUCAGGGGUUAUAUAUCGUUUCAUCAUCACUGAUAUCGAACGUAAAGCGAUGACGGCCAGGCUCGAGACGGUAUUGAUGAGAAACCCAGCGUAGACGUUGAAGCGACUCGGCUCGGCACGACGAGCCGGACAGACCGAAAGACCAAAGCGCCGCCGCAUCGCUCAGUUUUCCUAUAGAGGACGCACGGGCUAAUAUUCCGGGUAAACCGAGGAAAAUGAUCUAGUGUUACACAUCUGUGAGGGACGAAACUACGUGAACGUCUAGGAUCGGACUCGGGUGUUUUCGGUCAGUGGGUCGACGAUGAGGUAUGAGUGAGUGAGCGGUGUGUUUUGUUUAUUUAUUUUUUCAAAACAGGAAUCUGUCAGAGUUUGGUCUUCACAAGACACGUUCGUGGAAGUGUAUCACGGCACAGAUGAAGGAGAUUUCUGAGGACCUCCAAAAUCUCUAAAGAGUCUGGACUCCACCAAUCUACAAGUCGGACAGAUUGUAUACAAAUGGAGGAAGUUUAAGACCGUCGUUAUCCUCCUCAUAUAGUCAUUAUAUUAACGGGAUACUUGGUUACCAAUUAUCCCAUUACGCAAUGAAUCAAAUACUCAAUGUUGGUGCAACUCGGUCCUGACGACGUACGAAAAGUUACAGGUUUACCUGCGACAAAGCAUUAACACUGGAGACUCCUUCCAUACAUUUUUAAAUGGACAUCUUCACCGUAACGACGAUUACACACGUUUAAAAAACAUUUAUUUAAAAAAAAAUAAAAAAUCCGUUUACGUCAGGCGUCCGCCGUAUGAGUCGAGACCCGAGCUGUUACUAUAGAAACGGUGACGAAUUAGACAGCGCACGUUAAUAUAAUAAACCUGCGCUACUGUCGCUACUUCUGACCAAUCAGAAUCCAUGAUGUUCGAAGCAGUAAUUUAUGCAAAUUCAGCACGCUUAGUCACUGUUUAUUCACUGACAAGUGUGUUCAUGUUGUUUUGUUCUACCUCAAUCAGUUCCACCAGAUCCAGCAGAAAGAGAAAAAAAAAGAGAACACUUUUCUCCCUCUACACUUCCUUAUAAGAUGAAUGCCAGAACACAGAAUGGAAAAACCAAGAGGGGGAAAAAAAAAACGUGAUAGUGACUCAACAUCUCCUGGCAAAAAUAGUUUUUCGUUUUCAGCCGCUGAGUUUAUUUAACUUAUUUUUUUUCCUCACAUGGUCCUUGGAACAGAUUGUUUUCUGGAAGAGGACGGCAGAAGGACUGGACGUUUUGUAGAGGACCGGAGUGUGUCAAUGUGGAG
This is a long non-coding RNA of Ictalurus punctatus (channel catfish), 1765 nucleotides long. NCBI's taxonomy places the organism in Eukaryota, Metazoa, Chordata, Actinopteri, Siluriformes, Ictaluridae. The record is from Ensembl.